AACGCACCUUGCGCCCCAUGGUAUUCCGUGGGGCAUGCCUGUUUGAGUGUCACGUGAAACCCUCACUCCUUGUCAUGUUGAAAGAUGUGGCUCGGAUGUGGACUUGGACUGUGCCGUGAUUGGCUCGUCUUGAAAUGCAUUAGCCGUCGCUGGUUAGAUUCAGCCACCUGGUGUGAUAAUUACACUUAUGCCUACUGUGCUGCUUCUUCCAUUGGUGAGGGCUUACAAUCGUCGCUAGUUCGACAGACUCACUUAACGCUCUGGCCUCAAAUCAGGUAGGACUACCCGCUGAACUUAA
This 298-nucleotide unclassified non-coding RNA is filed under the name Stachybotrys sp. Its description in RNAcentral is "partial contains 5.8S ribosomal RNA, internal transcribed spacer 2, and large subunit ribosomal RNA". The stretch from base 1 to 52 matches the Rfam family "5.8S ribosomal RNA", at positions 103 to 154 of the family's 154-position model. The record is from RNAcentral. Lineage: Eukaryota; Fungi; Ascomycota; Sordariomycetes; Hypocreales; Stachybotryaceae.